AAUAUCAAAGGUGAGCCAGUACAGGAUGGACCCGCGUCUGAUUAGCUAGUUGGUAAGGUAACGGCUUACCAAGGCGACGAUCAGUAGCCGACCUGAGAGGGUGAUCGGCCACAUUGGAACUGCGACACGGUCCAAACUCCUACGGGAGGCAGCAGUGGGGAAUAUUGCACAAUGGGCGAAAGCCUGAUGCAGCAACGCCGCGUGAGUGAUGAAGGCCUUCGGGUCGUAAAACUCUGUCCUCAAGGAAGAU
Molecule: ribosomal RNA, 250 nt
Filed under: Clostridioides difficile
Lineage: Bacteria; Bacillati; Bacillota; Clostridia; Peptostreptococcales; Peptostreptococcaceae
Description: partial 16S ribosomal RNA
Rfam family: Bacterial small subunit ribosomal RNA
Source: RNAcentral